GCCCGGUUAGCUCAGUUGGUUAGAGCGCGGUGCUAAUAAUGCUGAGGUCGUGGGUUCGAUUCCCUUAUCGGCCA
Molecule: transfer RNA, 74 nt
Filed under: Saccoglossus kowalevskii
Lineage: Eukaryota; Metazoa; Hemichordata; Enteropneusta; Harrimaniidae
Description: tRNA-Ile
Rfam family: tRNA
About the family: Transfer RNA (tRNA) molecules are approximately 80 nucleotides in length. Their secondary structure includes four short double-helical elements and three loops (D, anti-codon, and T loops).
Source: RNAcentral